Rattus norvegicus (Norway rat) is the source of this 69-nucleotide non-coding RNA. NCBI's taxonomy places the organism in Eukaryota, Metazoa, Chordata, Mammalia, Rodentia, Muridae. The record is from Rfam.
GGGGAUUUAGCUCAGUGGUAGAGCGCUUGCCUAGCAAACGCAAGGCCCUGGGUUCGGUUCCCAGCUCCG